Long non-coding RNA from Hemicordylus capensis (graceful crag lizard), 832 nucleotides. RefSeq lists it as uncharacterized. The transcript is spliced from 5 exons. Lineage: Eukaryota; Metazoa; Chordata; Lepidosauria; Squamata; Cordylidae. The record is from RefSeq and is a predicted model, not a curated record.
UGCAGAGAUAGAGAUUUUUCUGCAGAGAAAACCAGCAUUUAAAAAACCCAGUCAUACAUUGAGAAAAGCUAGAAUUCGCAUCACAAAGCCAGGUUUGUGUGUGGAGUGGCUCCAAGAAUCUCAAAGGGACGUCGAGAUGCAGAACUGCAAACUCCAUGGGAGGACAAAAUAAAUAGAGCAGGAGAUGGCAACUCAUUCUCCUCCCACUGUUCUACCAUGUUUUGGCAAAGGGACUUGGGAGAUGUAGCCAUUUCUCUGUGCAGCAUUUCUCUCACAUCGCCUACCAAGAGAUGCACAGGCUCCUCCCCUCUGUCUUCAGAGCGUCCAUUCUUAAACUGAUCCAAACAGCUUGGGAAUGAAGAAAAAACUCCUGUCCAACUUAUGCCUUCAACUCUGCAGAGUUAAUUCGGUUGUUCUGUUUUUUGACGUUGUACUAUGCAAAGGGUUAAUAGAGUCUGGGCCUGGUGGCUGGGAUAGAUGACAUCAGGGUCAGACCACAAACCAAACCCUGUAAUUGGCUACAGUCUUCCACAUGGGAACCAAUUAAAUUAAAAGUUGGCUUUUCUCCUCUCUUUUUGGGAGGAGGGAUUUCUUUUUUUUUUCCUUUUGCGGGUUUGGACUGGAGAGAAUGUUGGUGGGAAAGGAGAGAAGAUGGUGAAGUGCCUCUCUUCCUCAGGCCUUACUCAGCUUGAGCUGAGAAGUUGACUUGGAGGUCUGUGGAGUACAAUAGCCCCAAGGACCAGGAUGAAAGAAUGGUGGUCAGCGGAACUAAACUGGAGGAUGUGAGAGCACGUCUUCUACACCAUGAAAAGACAAUGUUUUCUUAUGAAGG